AACUUAAAGGUUUGGUUCUGACCCCCAGUUCUCUCCCUAAAAAUAUACACAUGAUACCCUUCCGAUCCCAGUGGGCACCCUGAAUCAAAUUAAAAAUUUUUCAGAAAAUGAAUUAGAUAUAAUCAAAAAUUCAUCUCUCUCCACAACUUCAGUGAUCAAUAUUGAGCCAUUAACUCCAGUUAGACUCAGUUAAAAAGAAUAAAGAUUGGCUAAUCCUGUGCCAGCAGCCGCGGUUACACAGAAAAUCUAAGACAACAUCAAACAGUAAAAAGGGGGUAGAUAAACACAAGGAGCCAAUAAAAACAAUAAGAGUAAAAUCACACCUCCCCUAAGCCCUUGCUCCCAAUAAAACCCCUCAAAGCUAGCUAUAAAACCGGGAUUAGACACCCCGCUAUUCUAGCCCUAAAACUUAAACACUAGGGCACUACGAAAAACCUUUAAAACCCAAAGAACUUGGCGGCCCUUUAUACCCCAUCAGGGGAGCCUGUCCUAGAACUGAUAUUCCACAACUAACCCCACUUGUCCUCGCCCCUCAGCCUGUAUACCGCCGUCGCCAGCCCACCUAAAAAAGCCAGUAUGCCCAAUAGAAACCUCUAGAACGUCAGGUCAAGGUGCAGUCCAUGGACAAGAAGAGAUGGGCUACAGUAUCCACCAAGCUCGGAAUCCCGAAUGAAAAAAAGAAAAAGAAGGACUUGAAAGUAAUGGGACAAAGAACCCCCAUGAAUAGAGCAAUAAAGCGUGCACACAUCGCCCGUCGUUCUCCUCAAAAGAAGAGACAAGUCGUAACAAAGUAGGGGUACCAGAAGGUGCCCCUUAC
This 817-nucleotide non-coding RNA is filed under the name Terebratulina retusa. The record is from RNAcentral. Lineage: Eukaryota; Metazoa; Brachiopoda; Rhynchonellata; Terebratulida; Cancellothyrididae.